ACGGGUGAGUAAUAUAUCGGAACGUACCCUAGAGUGGGGGAUAACGCAGCGAAAGUUGCGCUAAUACCGCAUACGAUCUACGGAUGAAAGUGGGGGAUCGCAAGACCUCAUGCUCAUGGAGCGGCCGAUAUCUGAUUAGCUAGUUGGUAGGGUAAAAGCCUACCAAGGCUUCGAUCAGUAGCUGGUCUGAGAGGACGACCAGCCACACUGGAACUGAGACACGGUCCAGACUCCUACGGGAGGCAGCAGUGGGGAAUUUUGGACAAUGGGCGCAAGCCUGAUCCAGCAAUGCCGCGUGAGUGAAGAAGGCCUUCGGGUUGUAAAGCUCUUUUGUCAGGGAAGAAACGGUGGGCUCUAAUACAGAUCACUAAUGACGGUACCUGAAGAAUAAGCACCGGCUAACUACGUGCCAGCAGCCGCGGUAAUACGUAGGGUGCAAGCGUUAAUCGGAAUUACUGGGCGUAAAGCGUGCGCAGGCGGUUGUGCAAGACAGAUGUGAAAUCCCCGGGCUCAACCUGGGAAUUGCAUUUGUGACUGCACGGCUAGAGUGUGUCAGAGGGGGGUAGAAUUCCACGUGUAGC
This 581-nucleotide ribosomal RNA is filed under the name uncultured Herminiimonas sp. RNAcentral's name for it is "bacterial SSU rRNA". It matches the Rfam family "Bacterial small subunit ribosomal RNA", at positions 102 to 679 of the family's 1533-position model. Lineage: Bacteria; Pseudomonadati; Pseudomonadota; Betaproteobacteria; Burkholderiales; Oxalobacteraceae. The record is from RNAcentral.